AUACGGAGGGUGCAAGCGUUGUUCGGAAUCACUGGGCGUAAAGGGCGCGCAGGCGGUUUGAUAAGUCAGAUGUGAAAGCCCAUGGCUCAACCAUGGAAGUGCAUUUGAAACUGUCAGACUUGAGUACUAGAGGGGAAAGUGGAAUUCCCGGUGUAGAGGUGAAAUUCGUAGAUAUCGGGAGGAAUACCGGUGGCGAAGGCGACUUUCUGGCUAGAUACUGACGCUGAGGCGCGAAAGCGUGGGGAGCGAACAGGAUUAGAUACCCGAGUAGUCC
RNAcentral lists this ribosomal RNA (274 nucleotides) under uncultured bacterium. Its description in RNAcentral is "partial 16S ribosomal RNA". It matches the Rfam family "Bacterial small subunit ribosomal RNA", at positions 523 to 796 of the family's 1533-position model. The record is from RNAcentral.